RNAcentral lists this ribosomal RNA (232 nucleotides) under uncultured bacterium. RNAcentral's name for it is "partial 16S ribosomal RNA". It matches the Rfam family "Bacterial small subunit ribosomal RNA", at positions 15 to 236 of the family's 1533-position model. The record is from RNAcentral.
GAUCAUGGCUCAGGAUGAACGCUGGCGGCGUGCUUAACACAUGCAAGUCGAACGAAGCAACCAUGAAGCCUAGCGAUUGGUUGACUGAGUGGCGGACGGGUGAGUAACGCGUGGGUAACCUGCCUCAUACAGGGGAACAACAGUUAGAAAUGACUGCUAAUACCGCAUAACCCGCUAGGGCCGCAUGGCCCGGACGGAAAAGGAGCAAUCCGGUAUGAGAUGGACCCCGNGU